This 253-nucleotide ribosomal RNA is filed under the name uncultured bacterium. RNAcentral describes it as "partial 16S ribosomal RNA". It matches the Rfam family "Bacterial small subunit ribosomal RNA", at positions 524 to 776 of the family's 1533-position model. The record is from RNAcentral.
UACGUAGGUGGCAAGCGUUGUCCGGAUUUAUUGGGGUUAAAGGGCGCGUAGGCGGCCUUCUAAGUCGAACGUGAAAUCCCUGGGCUCAACCCAGGAACUGCGUCCGAUACUGGAAGGCUUGAAUCCGGGAGAGGGAUGCGGAAUUCCAGGUGUAGCGGUGAAAUGCGUAGAUAUCUGGAGGAACACCGGUGGCGAAGGCGGCAUCCUGGACCGGUAUUGACGCUGAGGCGCGAAAGCCAGGGGAGCAAACGGG